UGGGAGCUUAAGGGCCCCGGCACGCGUUCCCCUGGCGCAGAGCUCGCUAGCCGGGGCGCGGGCUGCCUCCUUGUUCUGGUGUGAUCCGAAUGUAACGGAGCGGACUUUGGGAUCCAGAACCCCGGACUGAGGUUGUGCUUGGCUUGAGGGGCGGGCUGGAUUUUUCCUCUUAGGAUUUAUUUCCCUGGAGACCUCAUGAAGAAUGAUGUGGGUUCUAUAGGGUACAGUGUGAUCUGGGUCCUGCCUAAUCUCCUUUCUAAACUUCAGAAAAUCAUGUACCUUGGAGUUGUGGAGGCAUGUUUAUAAGCAGAUCUGAGUUUUGCCACACUGGAAUUUAUUUAUUCAUUGAACAAAUAUUUAAUACCUACUACAAUUCUUAGCCGAUAUAUCAGCACAACUUCUCUGCUCCAACUAGUCUACAUUGCAAAGCAUCUCCUAGUGUCUUUGGAAGAAGGAUCUAUGGUGUUAUAUGUGAACAAAGAUGUAGACUAGUAAGGUGUCAAGAUUUGAUGGGGAUAUCCAGACAACUUGGAGCCAAGUCCCCACAGCUGGAUCAGACAACUUUUGGUGACAUCUCACAGUGUGGAUUAUCAAGCCAGUGUAUCAGUCUGGAGCCUAGGUUUUUUGCCUUUAGCUUUGCUCAGGAUGACUUCUGCUCUUCUAUGGCAAUACUUGAGAAGCUACAGCUUUGAUUAGACGAGAGGCUAUUUCAAUAACUUCCUCCUGAUAAGAAGACCACCGACCGUGGACGGAUUCUGGCCAGUUUAAAAAGGCUGCAUACCAUAGGGCAGGGCACCCCACUAUGGUAAACACUAAUAAUGAUAUUGCUCCUGAUUUUGUUUCUGAAGGGAAUGCCUCUAAGAUUUCUUCAUUAAUUAUAAGAGACUGGGUCUCACUCUGUUGCCC
This 906-nucleotide non-coding RNA is filed under the name Pan troglodytes (chimpanzee). Lineage: Eukaryota; Metazoa; Chordata; Mammalia; Primates; Hominidae. The record is from RNAcentral.